Non-coding RNA from Danio rerio (zebrafish), 1317 nucleotides. The record is from Ensembl. Lineage: Eukaryota; Metazoa; Chordata; Actinopteri; Cypriniformes; Danionidae.
CGGCGCCAAAGCCCAAAGGAAGUUUUACAGAAUCCAGUCAGAUUGAAGCAAGACGCCAGAGCCGGAGUUUUGUACAUCCAUUUGCACAGUACUGUACAACAAGUUUCCUUUGCUGAGUUCCUUGGUCAGGGGUUAAACACAUUUUCUGUCCAGUACUGCAGUUGGAAUUUUCCAUCAACAUUUUUAUGGUGGCGCAGUGGGAAGUGCUCUCACCUCACAGCAAGAAGAUCGCUAGUUCGAUUCUCGACUGGAUCUGUUGGCAUUUCUGUGUGGAGUCUGCAUGUUCUCCCAGCGUUCGCAUGGGUUUCCUCCGGGUGCUCCGGUUUCCCCCACAAGUCCAAAGACAUGCGGUAUAGGGGAAUUGGACAACCGAUGUCCAUGUCAAAAGAGCGUCUAUUCUUUAAGCUCUCUUUACUUACCUUGGUGAGGAUGAGGCAUGCCUGGUGAAAGAAUACAUGAGCAACCAAAAAGAAGAAUUUUUGAAGGACCUGACAAACACCACCAUGGCCAUAUGUGUCAUCAAAAAGGAAAGAGGAGAUUAUGAGGACAUUGGCAUCGUUGUGGAUGGAACAGUGAUUAUUGAACAGAUAAAAUCUGUUGCACAAGCCUGUGCACUGAUGUUGGGGGCAAUUUAUGUGCUUGAUUUGGCCUACCCAAAAGAACUCAAAUACUAUUUGGAGUUUGCCCAAAAAGUACUUGUGCAAAUGAACUCUGACAAGCUCUCCUCAAAGGUUCUCAUACUGGAAAACAGUGUGAUACUGUAAUUUUAAGCAUUGAAGUGUUGAUAAAUGCUCAACAACCAAAUGUAUAUCAUAUACAAAUUGCAGUUUAGUGUAGGAAUUGUUUAAUAAGUGAAUUCAGUUUUCUUUGUGUGCAAAAUUAAUUAGCUGUAGGAACUUGUUUUAAAUGGUGUGUGUGUGUGUGCGCGUGUGUGUGUGUGUGCGUGCGUGUGUGCGUGCGUGCGUGCGUGCGUGCGUGUGUGUGUGUGUGUGUGAGAGAGAGAGAGAGAGAGAGAGAGCAUGUGCAUUCUAUAAACUGUAUUUAUUCCAUUUCAUACAACUUGUACUUGCUCAAUAUGUUGAGUUAAUUUUUUAAGUUAAUUAGUUGAUUAUUUUGUGUAUUGGGGUGUGUGUAUCAUAAGUAUUGCAGUUUGCUCUAAGACUUCAUAUAGUUUUCUUUUAUGUGUUGGUUUAAAUUAAAUGUGCUGUACAAACUGUUUAUUGUUUUAUGGUGUGCUGCUAAAGCAUUUAUAGGCAGUGAUUUAUGUUUUGUUAAAAAAUGCAUCUUAAAAAGUCAUUAAAAUGAAUUCAAAACAAA